GCUGAGGUGGUGGAAUUUGGUAGACACGCAGCCUUGAGGUGGCUGUGCCCGAAAGGGUGUGGAGGUUCAAGUCCUCUCCUCAGCA
This 85-nucleotide transfer RNA is filed under the name Patescibacteria group bacterium. RNAcentral's name for it is "tRNA-Leu". It matches the Rfam family "tRNA". From Rfam's summary of the family: Transfer RNA (tRNA) molecules are approximately 80 nucleotides in length. Their secondary structure includes four short double-helical elements and three loops (D, anti-codon, and T loops). The record is from RNAcentral.